GAAAAAGGGGGAUAGAGUGGAUGCUAGAAAGGACUCGCAAUACUUUUUUGCUUGUUUUCUCUACCAUGAAGAAUCAUUUUUAUUUUUUAAAUUUAUUUUAAAAAUGUUUUUCUAUCCCUUCCCUCUUCCCUCCCCCCUCCCGGAGCUGACAAGCAAAGAGUCAUUUUUAGCCUGGGAAGAUUAAAACAGAAUUAGUUAUCAGGAAAUUGGAACAAAGGUAAGUGAGAAUAUGUUCAGAGUUCAAUGAGUUCAAGUCGCCAGAGCUAGGCAAAUCACAUUCACAGUGUUUCAGAAAAGAACUGGCAGAUGUAAUUGCUGAGUCACUAUGAACUUGGAAUAAAUGUGGACACUCAAGAGGUGUCACAGAACUGGAGAUGGGCAAAAAUGUUGAUUUUCCAAAAAAGGGAAUGUUUGGAUUCUCUGGACUAGAUGCAAAUGAAUUUGACGUCCAUUCUUUUGCCAGAAUUCUUGAAGGGAUUUCUAAAAGGCCUAUUUGUGAAUACUUAGAGAGGCAGGUUAAAAAACAGAAAAUGAAUUAGAUGCAAUACACUAGACAAGGAAGACUCAGAAAUAACAACUCAGCAAUGUUCAAUAAACGCAGAAAUAGAAAUUACCUAAGAAAAGACUCCUUAUCUAAAAAGAAUGUUUAAGAAAACUGGAAAGCAUUCCAGCAGAAAUUAGGAGUACAGCACCUUUUUAGCAGUCUGGUUCUGUUCCUGACUGCUGACUUUUCUAAUCUCUACCUCAGCAGGCUCCUUAGCUGGGUAUGUUUCUACCUGAUCUACAAAGAUCCUGUGCCAGUUAUGGAACGGAAAUUAGACUGACAGUUUGUGGGGGAAGGGGCCAACUGGGAGUGGCAGUUGGGUCUUGUGACUAGCACUUCCUUCCUGCCGGGUGGGACUUGCUUCCGGGUGUUGGAGGAGGAAGGAGCUUGUUCAGCCCAGUCUGGUGUGGUGUGCCGCCUCUUCUUGGUUCAGCCCGAAGAUUCAGGCCCAUUCAUCUCUGAAGGGAAAGGAAACUUAAAGAACACAAGCAAACCACAAAACAAUGUCUUCAAGGAAACCUCCCAUCUCCCCCUCCAGCCUGGCCCCAUCAAUGAUCUUCCUCCUCCUCCUCCUCCUCCUCUAAUCCAAAGUACCUUAUACCUUCUAAAUAAUUAUCAGAGCACCAUUAAAUCAAAAGCUCCUUGAAAGUUGGAGCUUUAAAAAGCCUUAUGUCUUUGUGUUUUUGGGACCCCGGAAGGUACUUAACAAGUAGAAAACAUGUAGAACGUUUGUUGGCUUAUUCUGCACGAUGUCUCUCAGUGUCCCCUUAAGACCGUGAUUUCCCGGAGGACAGACCCUACUCAACUUGUAUCAGAUAAUAUUUUUUCAAGUGUCUGCUACAGUGAUAUACAGAAGCCCUGGAACUUGGCAUCUGAGACAGAAACGUCUUGCUAUUGGUUCUAGUUAUGUGCUCUGGGGCCAAGUAAAACAACUUAAAUCUCUCUUUUACAUGCUAGUCCUUUGAAUAUCCCAGGGUAGUCAACAAAAACUCUCCUAAGUUUUCUCUUCUUCAAAGUCAACAUUAAACUCUGGCCUGGUUUAAAGUCAUUCAAAAAUGCAAACGCAAAGCCAGCUCCAGGAAUGUGAUAAACAUUUUAUUUAUUUUUUUAAGAAAGUAGCUUCAGAAAAACAGACAGGAAAAUAAUCUAGAUCAUUUAUUUAUAUAUAUAUAUGUUUUAAUAAAAACCUUUACAUAAUCCUCA
Monodelphis domestica (gray short-tailed opossum) is the source of this 1747-nucleotide long non-coding RNA. Lineage: Eukaryota; Metazoa; Chordata; Mammalia; Didelphimorphia; Didelphidae. The record is from Ensembl.